Molecule: ribosomal RNA, 447 nt
Filed under: uncultured bacterium
Lineage: Bacteria
Description: bacterial SSU rRNA
Rfam family: Bacterial small subunit ribosomal RNA
Source: RNAcentral
ACCAGACUCCUACGGGAGGCAGCAGUGGGGGAUAUUGCACAAUGGGGGGAACCCUGAUGCAGCGACGCCGCGUGGGUGAAGAAGCGCCUCGGCGCGUAAAGCCCUGUCAGCAGGGAAGAAAAUGACGGUACCUGAAGAAGAAGCCCCGGCUAACUACGUGCCAGCAGCCGCGGUAAUACGUAGGGGGCAAGCGUUAUCCGGAUUUACUGGGUGUAAAGGGGGCGCAGACGGCGAUGCAAGCCAGGAGUGAAAGCCCGGGGCCCAACCCCGGGACUGCUCUUGGAACUGCGUGGCUGGAGUGCAGGAGGGGCAGGCGGAAUUCCUGGUGUAGCGGUGAAAUGCGUAGAUAUCAGGAGGAACACCGGUGGCGAAGGCGGCCUGCUGGACUGCAACUGACGUUGAGGCCCGAAAGCGUGGGGAGCAAACAGGAUUAGAUACCCCCGUAAG